This 1830-nucleotide long non-coding RNA is filed under the name Anas platyrhynchos platyrhynchos (common mallard). RNAcentral's name for it is "lncRNA (ENSAPLG00000017734.1)". The record is from RNAcentral. Lineage: Eukaryota; Metazoa; Chordata; Aves; Anseriformes; Anatidae.
CUAGAAAAGACCAAAUUAUCAAAUUAUUUUUUUUCUAUGCCUCAGAAGCCCAGCUGGAAAGAUUCAACGCUGAUCCUAGCAGUCCAUUCCCAUUUGUUAAGAUCAUAGAAUCAUAUCAUAGAAUGACUCAUGUUGGAAGGGAUCUUAAACACCACCUAGUUCCUGGCACAGGCAGGGACACCUCCCACUCAACCAGGUUGCCCAAAGCACCAUCCUGGUCUUGAACAUCUCCAGGGAUGGGGUAUCCACAACUUCGCUGGCUAACCUCACCACUCUCUGAGUGAAGAAUUUCCUCCUCACCUCUAAUCUAAAUCUCCCUUCUUUUAGCUUAAAACCAUUCCCCCUUGUCCUGUCAUUAUAUGACUGAGCAAAAAGUUGCUCUCCAUCUUUUUUAUUAGCCCCCUUUAAGCACUGAAAAGCUUUAAAACAGCCUACCACUAAAGUACUGCCAUCAGGCAUGGGAGAUCAACUCCAAGCAGAGCAGAAGGCAGGGAUGAGGCCUCCCUCAUCCUGAGUUACUGGCCUCAAACUGCCCUUUCUGCAAGGGUAAGUGGCACCUCCUCUGCACCUUUUUGUGCCCUGCCUCAAAUGUGAACUAUGCAGCUAGAUAAAGGCACUUGCUACUUUCCUACCAGUCCAUAUGUGAUUUGGAGAACAACUCUGGUCUUUGGGUAUGCCUGAAAUGAAUAUGCUUCAUCAGGCCUCUAAAGGCAUCUUACUCUCUUUGCUUACUGAAUAUGGAACUUAAACAGCUUGAGUAGGUGAAUUAGACUGCUCCUUCUGCAUGCCUCAUUUCAUUUUCAAGCUGCUAUUCUUCCUGCCAAGAUGGACUUGAAUCAAAAGGAACUUGAAAAGAAACUCAAAGAGGAGAUGAUCACCAACUCAAAUGGCAGUAUCUGUGUACAAACAGAUGAUCACCUGGAUGACAAACCAGCACCCAAAACAGCAUUCCCAGCAUUGAAGGGCCAAGGACAAAAGACUCUUAUCAUGUGGUAAUGCUGUUGAGAGUGUCACACAGCAAAAAUAUGGGAAGUUGUGAGGAGGAAGGGUAUUUAGUAGUCAGUUAGGGGGACCAGAAAGAAAGAAAUUGCAUUGAAUACUAUCUGAGCAAAGAAAAGUAUGAAUGUGUAUUUACCUUUGUAUAACGGAGCAGACAUCAGGACCAAAAAGGGCAAAGACAGAGAAAGACUCUAGGACUCCUUAGACAGUUCCAUCCAACUUCAAGAGUAAUGGGGAAGCUGGGGCAGAGAAACCAGUAUAGGAGUAUCCAAAGGCUGAUCAAAAAUGAGUAUUUUUGCUAAUUGGCAAAACAACAAAAAAGCAAACAGCUUAGCAAAAGGUCCACAAGUGGUGAAUUCAGCUAGGUUUAUGCCUCUCAAAUGUGUCUUGUUCCUUUUCAAAGUUGCCUAAAGGGCUGUACAAAUUUGUUGCCCACUCACCUUUGUAACUGGACUACAAUUUGUAGAUGACAUUCAUAAAAAUGAUCUUUGUCUUGAUUAGUUCUUAAGCAAUACAAUACUGUGCUUCUUUCACAAAGGCAGAGGCAUCUGAACACCACUAUCAUUUGCUGUGGGUGCUGUGUUACUUUUGGGUCUCCAGCCUGGGGUUGUGGCAAACCAAAGACUGGUUUUCUUCAUUUCAGUCUGCCUGUGGAUCUGGUUUGUUGUCCUGGUAUAGCUCACAGGAAGCACAAAGUGUUGCUCUUCAGGUAUAGUCUGUAUCUAGAUGGAAGGAGGCCUGCCUUUUGAGCACUUAGAACUUUGCUUUCAGCAAUCCCACAUAAAUCUCUAGUGUAAUAAAUCAUUUCAGAAUCUCUUCUUUGUCUUUGCC